RNAcentral lists this small RNA (540 nucleotides) under Pan troglodytes (chimpanzee). RNAcentral's name for it is "retained intron". The record is from RNAcentral. Lineage: Eukaryota; Metazoa; Chordata; Mammalia; Primates; Hominidae.
AACUGUUUGCAAUGCAAGAAGGGCUGGGCCCUGCAUCACCUCAAGUGUGUAGACAUUGAUGAGUGUGGCACAGAGGGAGCCAACUGUGGAGCUGACCAAUUCUGCGUGAACACUGAGGGCUCCUAUGAGUGCCGAGACUGUGCCAAGGCCUGCCUAGGCUGCAUGGGGGCAGGGCCAGGUCGCUGUAAGAAGUGUAGCCCUGGCUAUCAGCAGGUGGGCUCCAAGUGUCUCGGUGAGUCUCCUGCUGAUGGGACACAGGCACCUGGGAGUGCCUCACCCAGCAUGAAUGGUGAAGAGGCUGGAAUAUGGGCAGGUGGGGGAAGGAAGGGUGGAAUGUUGCCUGGGCAAGGGCAGAGGGGAGUGUUGAGAGAUGGACAAGAUGGAGUCAGGGUGCUGGGUAGGGGGCCCUAGCAGGACUCUGACCCCUCCCUCCCCUCAAGAUGUGGAUGAGUGUGAGACAGAGGUGUGUCCGGGAGAGAACAAGCAGUGUGAAAACACCGAGGGCGGUUAUCGCUGCAUCUGUGCCGAGGGCUACAAGCA